This 75-nucleotide transfer RNA is filed under the name Thermoflexia bacterium. RNAcentral describes it as "tRNA-Met". It matches the Rfam family "tRNA". Rfam says of the family: Transfer RNA (tRNA) molecules are approximately 80 nucleotides in length. Their secondary structure includes four short double-helical elements and three loops (D, anti-codon, and T loops). Further hydrogen bonds mediate the characteristic L-shaped molecular structure. tRNAs have two regions of fundamental functional importance: the anti-codon, which is responsible for specific mRNA codon recognition, and the 3' end, to which the tRNAs corresponding amino acid is attached (by aminoacyl-tRNA synthetases). tRNAs cope with the degeneracy of the genetic code in two manners: having more than one tRNA (with a specific anti-codon) for a particular amino acid; and 'wobble' base-pairing, i.e. permitting non-standard base-pairing at the 3rd anti-codon position. The record is from RNAcentral. RNAcentral also lists the same sequence under 1 other name. Lineage: Bacteria; Bacillati; Chloroflexota; Thermoflexia.
GGCGAGGUAGCUCAGUGGCAGAGCAGGGGACUCAUAAGCCCUUGGUCGUGAGUUCAAAUCUCACUCUCGCCACCA